UACAAGUACCUGUGAAGGAAAGUUGAAAAGAAUCAUAUUGAAGAGAGAGUUCAAGAGGGCGUGAAACCGUUUAGAAGUAAAGGGGUAAAGCUGCGAGGUAGCCGCAAAAAUCAGCCGGGCGAACGGUCUUUGUUUGGUAGUCUGAUGUUAAAACAGAAUACUGGACGCUAUGGCCAUAGUCUGGUGCACUUUUUGUGGCGAGCAUCGCGACUAAAGCGAAGCCCGGUGGAAGGUUGAUUUUGAAGACAGAGCCGAGUGUUCUGUGACUAAAGUCUUCUGGAUACUGGUGCCACGUUUUGGAUACCCGAGUAGUCGCCGUAAGGCUCGUGAAAGUUCGUUGGUGGGUUGGUUGAAAUGUCCGUUUCUUGCUUGCAGGAUCGGGCGACCCCUGAUUUAACAUCGGAUUUGAUCGAGAGACUACGAAGGAUCCGCGAUGUCUGAGGCGGCCGCUUACCCCACCCGUCUUGAAACACGGACCAAGGAGUCUAACAUGUGCGCGAGUUAUUGGGUGGUAAACCCAAAGGCGAAAUAAAAGUAAAUGCCGCUUACGCGGUUAUAAAUACGAUCCUCGACGAAUAAUCGAGGCGGAGUAUUGUCCCAUCUAUGCGGUUCGUCCGCUGGGUGGAGAAAGAGCGUAAAUGUUGGGACCCGAAAGAUGGUGAACUAUGCUCGAGCAGAACGAAGCCAGAGGAAACUCUGGUGGAGGUUCGUAGCGGUUCUGACGUGCAAAUCGAUCGUCAGACUUGGGUAUAGGGGCGAAAGACUAAUCGAACCAUCUAGUAGCUGGUUCCCUCUGAA
RNAcentral lists this ribosomal RNA (798 nucleotides) under Coomansus batxatensis. RNAcentral's name for it is "partial large subunit ribosomal RNA". It matches the Rfam family "Eukaryotic large subunit ribosomal RNA", at positions 343 to 965 of the family's 3401-position model. The record is from RNAcentral. Lineage: Eukaryota; Metazoa; Nematoda; Enoplea; Mononchida; Mononchidae.